UCUGACGGAGCACGCCGCGUGAGCGAUGAAGGCCUUCGGGUCGUAAAGCUCUGUUGUUAGGGAAGAACAAGUACCAGAGUAACUGCUCGUACCUUGACGGUACCUAACCAGAAAGCCACGGCUAACUACGUGCCAGCAGCCGCGGUAAUACGUAGGUGGCAAGCGUUGUCCGGAAUUAUUGGGCGUAAAGCGCGCGCAGGCGGUUUCUUAAGUCUGAUGUGAAAGCCCACGGCUCAACCGUGGAAGGUCAUUGGAAACUGGGGAACUUGAGUGCAGAAAAAGAAAGCGGAAUUCCACGUGUAGCGGUGAAAUGCGUAAAGAUGUGGAGGAACACCAGUGGCGAAGGCGGCUUUCUGGUCUGUAACUGACGCUGAAGCGCGAAAGCGU
Molecule: ribosomal RNA, 387 nt
Filed under: uncultured bacterium
Lineage: Bacteria
Description: bacterial SSU rRNA
Rfam family: Bacterial small subunit ribosomal RNA
Source: RNAcentral